RNAcentral lists this unclassified non-coding RNA (200 nucleotides) under uncultured Mucoromycota. RNAcentral's name for it is "sequence contains ITS2". Lineage: Eukaryota; Fungi; Mucoromycota. The record is from RNAcentral.
AAAUCUCACAAAUGAAACAUUUUUUGUUUCAAAUUGUGGACUUGGAUUUGCGAUCCUUGGAUUGAUUGCUAAUCUGAAAUGAAUUUCAUGAAGCUUAACUUGCUUUGAAUCUUUUGCUUAAUAGUUUUGCUUUGUCAAAUCUUUUGCAAUUGAUUCAAAAGCCCAAAAAGUGGAUUGAUUUUACGAAAUCUCUUCUCAUU